GAUCUGGCUCAGAGUGAACGCUGGCGGUAGGCCUAACACAUGCAAGUCGAACGGCAGCACAGGGGAGCUUGCUCCUUGGGUGGCGAGUGGCGGACGGGUGAGGAAUACAUCGGAACCUACUCUGUCGUGGGGGAUAACGUAGGGAAACUUACGCUAAUACCGCAUACGACCUACGGGUGAAAGCAGGGGAUCUUCGGACCUUGCGCGAUUGAAUGAGCCGAUGUCGGAUUAGCUAGUUGGCGGGGUAAAGG
RNAcentral lists this ribosomal RNA (251 nucleotides) under uncultured bacterium. RNAcentral describes it as "partial 16S ribosomal RNA". It matches the Rfam family "Bacterial small subunit ribosomal RNA", at positions 15 to 263 of the family's 1533-position model. The record is from RNAcentral.